Molecule: ribosomal RNA, 680 nt
Filed under: Streptomyces albogriseolus
Lineage: Bacteria; Bacillati; Actinomycetota; Actinomycetes; Kitasatosporales; Streptomycetaceae
Description: bacterial SSU rRNA
Rfam family: Bacterial small subunit ribosomal RNA
Source: RNAcentral
GUGGCGAACGGGUGAGUAACACGUGGGCAAUCUGCCCUGCACUCUGGGACAAGCCCUGGAAACGGGGUAUAAUACCGGAUACUGACCCGCUUGGGCAUCCAAGCGGUUCGAAAGCUCCGGCGGUGCAGGAUGAGCCCGCGGCCUAUCAGCUUGUUGGUGAGGUAAUGGCUCACCAAGGCGACGACGGGUAGCCGGCCUGAGAGGGCGACCGGCCACACUGGGACUGAGACACGGCCCAGACUCCUACGGGAGGCAGCAGUGGGGAAUAUUGCACAAUGGGCGAAAGCCUGAUGCAGCGACGCCGCGUGAGGGAUGACGGCCUUCGGGUUGUAAACCUCUUUCAGCAGGGAAGAAGCGAAAGUGACGGUACCUGCAGAAGAAGCGCCGGCUAACUACGUGCCAGCAGCCGCGGUAAUACGUAGGGCGCGAGCGUUGUCCGGAAUUAUUGGGCGUAAAGAGCUCGUAGGCGGCUUGUCACGUCGGUUGUGAAAGCCCGGGGCUUAACCCCGGGUCUGCAGUCGAUACGGGCAGGCUAGAGUUCGGUAGGGGAGAUCGGAAUUCCUGGUGUAGCGGUGAAAUGCGCAGAUAUCAGGAGGAACACCGGUGGCGAAGGCGGAUCUCUGGGCCGAUACUGACGCUGAGGAGCGAAAGCGUGGGGAGCGAACAGGAUUAGAUACCCU